UCUCAAAAUAUUUGGAGGUGCUUAGAAUAUUUUUGAGGUUCCAUAAAGUUCAUUCGCGUAAUUUUCGGAGAAGUUUAACGAAGGGCGCGUUUGGAUAAACUUGGAUUUAUUUUCGGUGAGUCAUUGGAUAAGCUUUGAUCAAAAAGCACAUGGAAAGGAGGCCUUGAAGGCCGUGAGCUUGGAGGGCAUAAUGGGGAGGAAUUUUGUGACUUACUACAUGGUAUAUAAGCUUGUUUUAGUGAGAGAAUCAGAUUUUGCUUGGAAUGGAAAGGAAAAGUCAAUAGCUCUCAAGUUUCUCCCAUUUUCCAAAUCUGGCCGUUCGGAGAGAAAGAGAGAGCUCGUAGACGAGGACGAACGUAGUUCCUUUUUGUACCCCGACACUCGAGGCGGGCGUUACGAUGGUCAAGAGGAGGUCAAGAGGAGAGAGACUUGAUCGGAGAUUUGCCGAGAUCGACAGUUGGACGUCGGACCAAGGUUUAAGCUAGUAGGAUAAGGUUUCCGUUUUCGGUGUCUAAACCUUCGACGUGUUUGUACUCACGAAUGAUGGGGUAUGGGUAGGUAUCAGAUGCAUAUACCUUUAUGCGGUCACCCUGCGCGGGAUCGUAGGAGGUAUACCGAACUAAGAGGUCAGGGGGUUGAGUUUUGUUGUGGCAACCUGAGUUUUGGAAAAACGAGUUGUCUUUUGUAAACUUCCUUUGGGUUGUCCACUGGGUAUGAAACAUAUUUUCUUGAACUCGGGUAAGUAUAUGAGUAAAGCUUAUCAUGACAUAUCUUAUGUAUAAAAAAAAAUUAAUUACCUCUGUCUGUUCAGGUUCAAAAUCAGUUAAGCAGGUUUAUAUUACUGUUUAUUGCACUACGAGGACACCCUGAAAAUCGGGGUGUUACAUUGUGGUAUCAGAGCUCCGGUUGAGAAUACCAGAGCUUGUCGGGAAGUGAGUCUGUCGGGUGAAGUUGUGUGACUCUGAGUGGUGUGUGUCUGCACUUAGGAUAUUUCCCCUUAGAUUGCUAGAGAGCUGAUUGUAAGAUCUGACCAAUCUUAUAACCGCUUCGGGCAUGACAAGAUGCUGAAAUAUCUAAGGCUGUAGAUGUUUUAGGUUCUGCCCAUGAGAGGAGAAUCUUUAAAUGUGUUUUAAUUCUACUUAUCUGGAUUGUAGAUUGGUUGUAGAAUUGGUUGUCUGUUUACUCCUAGUGAGAGAUAUAGACAUGUGAAGAUGUUGAUGAGUUCUAGUGAAUCUGGAUUAUGUUAGAUUGCUACUAAGGGAUUAAAUUUCAAAGUGAGAUAAGUAUUAGACGAGCCUCGAGCGGAAUCUCAGAGGAGAUGUUGGUAGGACACCAGAAUGAUGGAUUUUGAGUUCCUAGAGAAGAAGAUUUCCCUAGGAAUAACUUUUAUGAGUUUGAAGGUCAAUGAUGACUGGAACUAGGAGGGGUUAAGAUGAGUUUUCCCCAUAGACCUUUAGUUGUACCGAGCUCGAGACCGAGGGUAAGCGAGAGACCGAUCAGUCGUAGUUACGGUGAUAGGAAUGAGAUCUUUGUGGCCAGAGAGACUGAGAGUGAGAAACCCUAUGAGAUUGGGUGAGUUGAUACACGGAUCGUAUCAUAGAUCACAAGUGAUAAGUUGUGAAGAGUGUUGAGGUUCGAGAGAUGCCUACAACUAAGUUUUAGUACGAGUUGUGACUAUCCAGUGAGGGAUGAGCCUAGUACUAUACGUAAGCGUGGUGAGACGUCUAGUGAAACUGAGUGGACACCUAAGCCGAGUAGAGUUUAGUCAAGAGGUGGUAGUGAAGUUGUCAACAGAGACAUACCAACCGGGGUACUGACAGGUUAAGUUUUACUAUGGACAUCUAGAGAAGAUUUGAAAGAUCAUAUCCUAAGGAUGAGUGAGACUUGUUGUGAGUUGACUGUUACCUAGUGAAGUCGAGGGUCUAACCCUAAGUUUGGCAACUGAGUUGCAUUUGUUGAUUCGAAUCCUUCUUGUGCUUGCUUGUGUACUAAGCUAAGUGUGGUUUAUUGGUUGUUGAUCGGAGGUUUCUUAUAUGAGAACCUACCGAAAGUUUGAACUGGUUAAGUGUAGAGUGUACUACUUUACCAUUCUUGUGAUAGGUUCUACUCUUGUUGCUAGACCCAUAAAUUCUUAAACUGCUUGUGUGCUUUUACAUUUUGAUGUUGAGGGAGACCUCUUUUUGUGUAGACUUGUGUGUUUACCCCUUUAGAGACCUAGAUUUGGUUCUAGGAAUGGAUUGGUUGUUUAGAUGCCAGAUCCCUUGCCUUGUGUACGAGGACAAUUGUCUCUACGGAGACCGGCGUUUCGGAAUACUUGGACAAGAAUCGGAGGAUCGCCGCACUGGAAGAUGGUUCCCGGGAAAUCCUUUUGCUCGCUAACGUAGGGGAAAGGAAAGAAAUCGACGUACGAGGUACACAUGUAGUAUGAGACCUUCUUGAUGUAUUCCUAGACGAUGUGCUUUGGCAGUUACGACACGAGAAUUGAGUGAUGAUCGAUCUAGUACCGAGGACGGGUCCUAUUUUGAUGGCACCAUAUAAGAUGGCGCCAAAAGCAAAACAACAAAUUAUGAGGGAACAGAAAACAAAACAAAAAAAUUGAAAGGAAGGACAAUAGAUAAUGCAGAAGCCAACCACCAAAGAAGAAAAAUGGAAAAAAAAUCAACACCGAAAGGUAGGGAUCAACACUGACGACAUCGUACCUAGCAAAGAAGAAGAAGAAGAAGAAGAAGAAGAAGAAGAAGAAGAAGAAGAAGGCUGCUUUAUUUUAAAUAAUAACUAUCAGGGUUUUUGUUUAUUUUUCAAAAAAUUGAAAUUUGACAACAAUCCUAUUGAUUGUGUCGACUAGAGUGAGGGGAUUAGGGUUUGGAAUUUUUUUUUCACCUUUUAUUAUAAAUAGAGGACUUGUGUGUUAGCAAAUUUUUUGUUUUUGAGUCUCUUUUGCACACAAGGUUUUCAAGUAAGUUCUUCUCUCCUCCUAGCCGAGUUUUCUUUUCCUUUUUCUACCUUGGAGGUCGAAUUUCCUACUUCUUCUCCCAUGGUUAUCGAGUUCUCAUCCCUAUUCUCUUGAGUUUUCAUCUUUUUCUUUCACAAAGAUCAUGAUGAUGGUCAUCUAAGAGUAUGCUCUGUGGUUGCGGCCUAGACCGAUCUUCCACAUCAGAAAAGAGAUGGUUGUUUGAGUGGAGAUUAGAAGCACAACAACAUUAUUAAGUUCUAAAAUUGAACCCCUAAAAGUAACAGCACAUUACCUGCUCCAUUUGUGUCCACUAGCUUCUCUUUAGGCAAUAGCAUCACUGGGAACUUUUUCACCUUCCCAUCCUCAGCAACACAAGCAAACAGGAUCAGCACCUUGCGUGAUAGCAGUUAUCCUUUUGUGUUCCUGAUGCCUUUGGUCAUUGGUAAAUCUUUAGAGUUAUCUCCUCCACAUUGUCAGUCUAGAUGACAGGGGAAAAGUCCAGAAGAAAUCAAAACAUGUAACUACUAUAAAUAGAGGGCUUGGGGUGAGAGGAAUUCACAAUUCAAGUGCUCACACUCUCUCCUUUCUAGCGUGAGUCUCUCCUCUCCCUCUCUCUCUUGUCGAGUUCUUCCUUGUCCUCUAUAGGCAAGAUGAUCUUGACUACUCCUUUGAGUGGUCAAGGGAUUCCCAUAGUAGCAAGCUCUGCUUCUACGGAAGUAUGAACUCGAAGAACCCCUUUCCUUGUUCAUGGAUCGGUGAAGUUUAAAGUUUUAUGGGGUUUUUGGGUCUAGGGUUUCGAGCUUCUUGGAGAAGAAGGAGGUUUCUUUUCUUCGAAGGUUCUAACCCUGUCGUUACUCUGUCCGUGCAGGAACUCGUACGGGCAAAGUCGAUCUAGCGAGAUCACACGAGGAUUUUAUCGGCCAAGGUGAGGGCACUUCUGGUCUAGAUAGAGGUCUAUUGUUUGUUGUGAUGUGAUACUGUCGUUAUGCUGUCCACAUAACGAUAGACUGUUGUGAUAGUGUUGUUAUGCUGCUGGCAUGUUGAAUAUUUUUGUGUUGUCGUUAUGCUGCCAAAAUUUCAUGAGAUAUUUGUGAUGUUGUUAUGCUAUCAUAUACUUGUUUAUAACAUGAGUUAUAUUGUUUAAAUACUAGAAAGCAUGUGGCUAGGGUAUUUUGCAUAUGAUAUUUGCGAACAAGUAAUUAUUUCGUCGAGGCUAUAGUACUAAGUGUAGGCUAUGGACCGUGAAAACGACGUUGCCGAUAGAGAUACGGUAUACUUGUUGCACGAGAGAAAAAUGAAGUGAUUAAGAGUGUGGUGGCAUAGAAAACGACGGUGCGUUGUUAAGCUCAACCCCAGGAGUUGGUUGAUGACCCGGGUUCGUUCCAUGUUUAUAGAGUCUUUUUGUCUUUGUUUUCAUGCAUUUUAGUGUCAUAUUCAUGUAGUGUUCAUGCAUAUUCAUGCAUUAGUCUUAGAUUAGUGUUAGAGUCAACCUUUCUUGCGUUUAAAGGGUUAUUCUUGAGUUUUCUUCCAGGUUUUCUUGAGUUUGAAUGAUUUCUGUGAUGCUUCACUUGAUCUUGUGUUUGAGUGUUGUGUGCAGGUGUUUUAGAGCUUUAGGAAUGCUUGGAUGAGGCUUGAGGAGCUUGGGAUGGAGCUAGAAGAAGAAAGGAGUAAAGACGGAGAAGUUUGGAAGCAAGGCAAGAAGUUGCAGAAGCCACCGUCAUGACGGUGUGCCACACCGCCCUUACGGUGGUGAGCCACCGCCCUUACGGUGGGGUGGCACCGUAAUGACGGUGGAGAGGCAUAAUUGAAGGAUUGUUACUCGAGCGAUACCGCCCUUACGGUGGGGAUCACCGCCCCUACGCUGGCAUCCACCACCCUUACGGUGGAAAAGCACCGUAAGGACGGUGGGAAGGAAAAAACGCGUGUGCAGAGUUUUUCCACCGCUCGAGCGGUGGUGAUGUACCGCUCGAGCGGUGUCGACCCAUUUUGAAGCCCAAGUUGCGUUUUUCAUCAGAUUUUCGGUGGAAACCUUAUAUAUACUUAAUUUUAUCAUUAGUGGAGGAUCUUUUGACUAUUACUUGAGUGGAGAAACCCUAGGAGAGCUCUGGGAAGUGCUUUUAAAGGAUUGAUACUCAGGCGCUUAUCGCCAUUAGAUGGACCAUUAGGAGAAACCACCGAACCCUCCACCCGUUGAGACAAAGGGACGUUACCCUGAGGAGGAGUUGCUGCAUAUGGUCUGUAUCAUAACAUGGAUGAUGGACGAGUGGGAGGAACGUUUGAAGGUUGAGUUACGUACGUACUACUAGUUCAAGCACGCAUCGAAGAACUUCUCAAGCGACGUAGAACUUAGCUUGGGUUGAGAGAUGUGUACUUUGGGUUAAGGUUUUGAGCAUACAAUUUAUCUUAGGAUUUACAGUUUUCAGUUAUUUUGAUUUGAACAAGAGUUUCAUUUUGAUGUAAUUUCUUUUGAUAAGAGUUUUGAAUAAUGAUUGAGUUUACAAGUUCAUUUAUGAAGUGAUUAUUUCGUUUA
Molecule: long non-coding RNA, 5483 nt
Organism: Lotus japonicus
Lineage: Eukaryota; Viridiplantae; Streptophyta; Magnoliopsida; Fabales; Fabaceae
Exons: 4
Source: RefSeq, a predicted model, not a curated record